RNAcentral lists this non-coding RNA (184 nucleotides) under Alcaligenaceae bacterium. RNAcentral describes it as "6S RNA". It matches the Rfam family "6S / SsrS RNA". Rfam says of the family: E. coli 6S RNA was the first non coding RNA to be sequenced, but its function was unknown until recently. It consists of 184 nucleotides that fold into an extended hairpin structure with a large single-stranded internal bulge. The 6S RNA specifically associates with RNA polymerase holoenzyme containing the sigma70 specificity factor. Lineage: Bacteria; Pseudomonadati; Pseudomonadota; Betaproteobacteria; Burkholderiales; Alcaligenaceae. The record is from RNAcentral.
GUUUUCCUGCGGUAUUCGUGACCUUGGUCCUACAUCUCUUACCGAUGCUUAUGGCUAAGGUAGUCAGCUCAGGCGCAGGUGUGAACCUCUCUAGUCAGAGGAUCCCGGAGCGCCUUUAUGGGCCGACCGCCAACUUGAACUUUAGGGUUCGAGAUGCCGACCUUGACGGUACCGCGGGUAUUUA